This is a long non-coding RNA of Nematostella vectensis (starlet sea anemone), 7021 nucleotides long. RefSeq lists it as uncharacterized. Lineage: Eukaryota; Metazoa; Cnidaria; Anthozoa; Actiniaria; Edwardsiidae. The transcript has 7 exons. The record is from RefSeq and is a predicted model, not a curated record.
UAGCAUGCAGCUUGUGAGUCGCCACGUCAGCUCGCUAGAGUAUUUAAGCAGUUCCAUAUAUAAAUUCAAGGCCUUUUCAGAAAUCUACGCAAGCCGUUUGCUCGUUAUUUCACUUUAAUGGCUGCCCCGGUUCAACCUGCCCCCGAAGCUUUGCAAGCGCUCGUUGGAGCUGCUGUCGCUCAGGGAGCUGACGCGGUUCCUGGAGACUAACAAACGCCUAUUGAAAGCAAUGAGCUCGGGCAGUUGAGAGAGCGGAUUGAGGAGCUGCGCAAGCUACAAGACUCGGGGUCUGUGGACUCAACGCUUCGCCAUCUAAGAGAAAUGUUGGCCAAGAAGUUGCCAUAGCUAAAGAGAUUCAGAAAGCGCUUAAAUCUGCGUCCUCUGCAACUCCUCGGCGCUUAGAGUCUGGCCCGUACUACUGAGACUCGUGUCCUUCUGUAAUAUGUUAUUUCUGUGGUCGCAGAGGACACAUAAGCAGAAACUGUUAUGCCAAACGAGGUGGUCGUGGCCAAGGUCGCGGCUAUUAAUAUGAUCGAGUCAUUGUUUCAAUUUCAUGUUAAUGUAUUUCUCUAUAAAGGGUUAAUUCCAGGUGUAGUUACUUCAUUUUUCCCGCUUCUCUGUGGAAUAUUUUUAUUAUACUUUAUAUCUUCACAGUUUACAUACUCGUGGUUUUUAUUACAUAUUAUUAGUGAAUGUAUUCAAUGGAAGCUAUUUUGCAUAGUUAUACACUCUUUCCGUAAUUUUAGGGGAAAUCUAAAUCAACUCCCUAUAGCUUGUCUUCGGACGGGCUUCUUAUAUCCAAUAUCGUAAGAUCGAGGUAAUUUCUCAUAUAUUUCACUGUAUUUUCGCCGGGAGAAAGGACGCCAUCGAAAAAUCGAGGUUAUUGUAAAAAAAUUUUGUUGUUUCAGAGUUUUAUAUGGGGGUUGGGGGGUGAAUUAACCCCUGCGAAAUGAACUCCCAAGAUUUGGGAGCUCCUAGGAUUUCCUAGGAUAUCCUGGAUACUCCUAAAUAUUGGGAAAUUGAAUUUGGGAGUAUCUAGGAAAACAUGGGAGCCAAAUGCGCGCCUCUGAUCAUUUGGGAGUUCCUGGGAUAUCCUAGGAACUCCCGAAUCCUCGGCUAUUCUCCUAGAUUCUCCCCAAAAGUUGGGAAACCCAGCGCUUGCUAAACAUCUCGGACAAAAUUGCACAGUUUUCUAAAAAGAGUCUUAUGGAGGACAAGCCCAUCGCAGGUUUGCUGGCAUCUCUGCUAAUUAUUAUUAUAAUAAUAGAGGGGAAGAAGGAACAACUCAACUGAAUUAUUCGCUGAUGACAACAGUAAAGAAAAUAAAUGACUUCAUAAAUCUUCUCGCGUAUGUUUAUUUUCAAAUAACAUGAUGGAAACUUGAUUUGUAAAUCACUGUUAAAGUCAAUUUAUUCAUUUCCCAAAAUUUAAUUGGAAAAAUUUUAAGGUCUACAGUCUUUCAUUUGUAUUUUGGAAUUGCUGUCGUAUGGGUAGCUCUAGCAUGGGAUAGCUGUGGUAUGCUUAGCCAAUCAGAUGCCAGGUUUUUGGCGGGCUUUUUCCCGCGCGUCGCGUUCAAAAGUGAUGUCCCGCUCGCCACAACUUCAAAAGGAGUCCAAACCAUUGUUGUGAGAGGGGUUUCGCCGAGGAUUUCACGCCAAAUACACCCAGUUUUCAUCUUAUUUUAGCACUUCUGCUGAUUAAACAACUAUCUGCAGCGGUGCAGCAAGUAGGAGACUUGGAUGCUUCUUACCAGGUGGUUGAGGAAUGCCGUUGCCACAGUAGCGAAGCCAGCACACUGGUGUCUUGGGAAGCUGGUAGACGUAGAAUGCACCGCAGUUCCUGACUUUGAUGUAGUUGCUCCAUCUGCAGCAGUUUUUAGUCCAGUGGUAGCACACCUUGCGAGUCACCAUACCUUGGGCUACAGUGGGAUGAGCUCCCACCAUCCACCCAGGCGCGUGGGUUCCACAGCGUUUUUCAAGUACACAACUUGUUGGCAUAGCAUUGCCUGCUUGUCCAGUGAAACGGUACCACAGGUUACCUGGAAACUCAUUCUUGUCACAGCGGAGGGCAUUUUGUGCGGUAUUGGCCAUUGCACGAUCGGCUCCGUGUAACAUUGUGUACGAUCUGCAUUCUAAAGAAAAACACAGCUUUUGAUUUAUCGGAUAUCAUCUUUUUUUUUUGUAAAUUGUCUUAGUAAGUAUUUUUAUCAACAUGUCGAUCACAUACUAUUGUUUAGGAAUACUAGUUCAUUUUAUUGUAUUGUUUUUAGACAGUCAUGAAAAUUAAUAGCAUCCAAAAGUAUAGCCUGCGUAGCAAGCGUUUCUUUAGAGUUUCAGCAGGAAUAGUAUAGAGAGCGAUACGCAGGCUACCAAAAGUAUUAUUAGCCAGCUAGCAAGGUUAAUACAUCAUUUAUUAUAUGGCUAUUUAAAUUUAUUUGAGAAGACAUUUCAAUGGGAGAAGGGAAACCACGCAAGUCAAGUUUCGUUGAUUUGUUGUGCUAGGUAAGGAAAAAGUCAAAUUUCGUUCUAAAGAUGCAAAAUUCUGUUAGCGCAUCGGACCCCUGAGAUGGGAAUAUCUCGGCUACUAAUCACAUCGUGCGGUACGAUUAUAAUAUGUCUUCUUACAAUAUUUACCUGAUGGGGGGUAAUAUGCGCGCGGCUUGAUGUCGAGCUUCUCAUCUGUCAGAAAAAAACAUUACAUCAAAUUAAAAUCCUUUAAAAAUCGAAUUCCGUUUUUAUUAAGAAGUAAUUUAGUCAGUUAGUAGGAUGGAUUGAAAUUUACCGUAAUUAAAUCUCACUAAAGAUUGACAUCUCAUUUGCAUAGAGUUUCAUAGCCUACGAAACCACCCGUCACAAGAGUCGGAUCGACAGGCGCGUGACAGUUCAAAAGACAGGAAUGUGAAAACGUCAACCUCCCGCGUACAUCGAAAGCACCGGACGUCAUCUAUAUUUGAAACCGCGCCUUAGGCUUUUUUGUUGACUUGAACGGAAUCCUUUUCUAAAAGUUGAAUAUGAAAUCAAGUCCCACUGGGCUAUCGAAAAGAGCUUUUUAAAGCUCUAUACAAAAGAAAUAGCUUUCAACCUUGAUUCUCCAACAAUGAUCGAAAAAUCGAUAUCUUUACAAUGCGACGUUCGCUACCGACAGUCUUGUAAGCAAUAAAAGAUGAUCGACAUUAACUUCAACAAGCCCAACACCGUGGCAAUAGAAUGCUUCAGUACUCAUCGGCGAACGCCAGAAUCCUCCUAGAUACAAAGUCUGUAUGUACCAAACAAUGAUUCUCACAAGCGAGAUCUCGGCUCAGUGUUGCCACUCUAUAAAUCAAUUCAAACUUAAUUUUUAUAUUAAUCAGAAAUGUUAAACAUAUCUUGGAAUUCGAGAAAUUUAACGGAUCCUCUCGAAAACCAUUAUGAGUAUCAAGCUAAAAUACGAAUAACCACUCACCUUCAGUGUUGGAGCUUUCUUGAGUGUUCUCCUUGGCAAGGCAUCCAUAAAGCAAAGCAAAAACCUUGGGAGAGAAAUGUUGAAGCUAAGUUAUCCCGACACACUCAAUUAUUUUAACAAGUAUCCAGGUGAACGCCCUUUAACCACUAGGUCGUGCCAAUGAAGACACUUUAGCUAAGACUUGGAUUCAUUUUAGAAAACUUAAAAGAAAAGAGCCCAGAAGACGAUCGUGAUUAAGCCGGAUUUGUAGUACUUAUCAGAUAAACUUUUAGUUAAUAUUUUUGUUUCGCGACCGUGAUUAUACCAGCUAACAGAAUCGCUUCGAUACCACUAAAUUUCCAAUAUGCUAUAGUUUAUAAAACUUUAUAAAAGUAUGGAAAUCAGUAAAUCUUGGCGGCACGCUGCUCGAGCUUCUGAUAAAUUCUUUGUUAAAAGACUGACUACUCCAUACAGAAGACGCACACAAAUGCACUUACUAGUAUCCACGAGCAGACCAGCUUCAUCUUGGCGAAGAGGUUUUCGGUGAAAGCAGAUGUGGCUAACCCAGUUGCUUGAGCUUACCUCGCUCAAUGGAUAUUUCGAGGUGUGACUUUAGUUUUAUCAACUUCUUUGUCCCCGCCUCCUCGAAUGAUUGACAGUUUUAAAAAGAGAGCCUCUUAGGAAUUUACAAGUAUAAAAGGCCUUUUUCAAAGGAAGAUGUUUUACUGAAUAUGCUUCCUUCCCAUCUCAUUCCAUAUAGCACACGUUAUAACAAAUGAAACGGGCCUUAGAUUAUUACAACUAUCUUCAUCGUUAGAAUUGGCGCGAAAUUCGAACGUGCGUUAUCAGUUGAACUUGCCCCUCCCUGGGGACAUUAGCAUGCAGCUUGUGAGUCGCCACGUCAGCUCGCUAGAGUAUUUAAGCAGUUCCAUAUAUAAAUUCAAGGCCUUUUCAGAAAUCUACGCAAGCCGUUUGCUCGUUAUUUCACUUUAAUGGCUGCCCCGGUUCAACCUGCCCCCGAAGCUUUGCAAGCGCUCGUUGGAGCUGCUGUCGCUCAGGGAGCUGACGCGGUUCCUGGAGACUAACAAACGCCUAUUGAAAGCAAUGAGCUCGGGCAGUUGAGAGAGCGGAUUGAGGAGCUGCGCAAGCUACAAGACUCGGGGUCUGUGGACUCAACGCUUCGCCAUCUAAGAGAAAUGUUGGCCAAGAAGUUGCCAUAGCUAAAGAGAUUCAGAAAGCGCUUAAAUCUGCGUCCUCUGCAACUCCUCGGCGCUUAGAGUCUGGCCCGUACUACUGAGACUCGUGUCCUUCUGUAAUAUGUUAUUUCUGUGGUCGCAGAGGACACAUAAGCAGAAACUGUUAUGCCAAACGAGGUGGUCGUGGCCAAGGUCGCGGCUAUUAAUAUGAUCGAGUCAUUGUUUCAAUUUCAUGUUAAUGUAUUUCUCUAUAAAGGGUUAAUUCCAGGUGUAGUUACUUCAUUUUUCCCGCUUCUCUGUGGAAUAUUUUUAUUAUACUUUAUAUCUUCACAGUUUACAUACUCGUGGUUUUUAUUACAUAUUAUUAGUGAAUGUAUUCAAUGGAAGCUAUUUUGCAUAGUUAUACACUCUUUCCGUAAUUUUAGGGGAAAUCUAAAUCAACUCCCUAUAGCUUGUCUUCGGACGGGCUUCUUAUAUCCAAUAUCGUAAGAUCGAGGUAAUUUCUCAUAUAUUUCACUGUAUUUUCGCCGGGAGAAAGGACGCCAUCGAAAAAUCGAGGUUAUUGUAAAAAAAUUUUGUUGUUUCAGAGUUUUAUAUGGGGGUUGGGGGGUGAAUUAACCCCUGCGAAAUGAACUCCCAAGAUUUGGGAGCUCCUAGGAUUUCCUAGGAUAUCCUGGAUACUCCUAAAUAUUGGGAAAUUGAAUUUGGGAGUAUCUAGGAAAACAUGGGAGCCAAAUGCGCGCCUCUGAUCAUUUGGGAGUUCCUGGGAUAUCCUAGGAACUCCCGAAUCCUCGGCUAUUCUCCUAGAUUCUCCCCAAAAGUUGGGAAACCCAGCGCUUGCUAAACAUCUCGGACAAAAUUGCACAGUUUUCUAAAAAGAGUCUUAUGGAGGACAAGCCCAUCGCAGGUUUGCUGGCAUCUCUGCUAAUUAUUAUUAUAAUAAUAGAGGGGAAGAAGGAACAACUCAACUGAAUUAUUCGCUGAUGACAACAGUAAAGAAAAUAAAUGACUUCAUAAAUCUUCUCGCGUAUGUUUAUUUUCAAAUAACAUGAUGGAAACUUGAUUUGUAAAUCACUGUUAAAGUCAAUUUAUUCAUUUCCCAAAAUUUAAUUGGAAAAAUUUUAAGGUCUACAGUCUUUCAUUUGUAUUUUGGAAUUGCUGUCGUAUGGGUAGCUCUAGCAUGGGAUAGCUGUGGUAUGCUUAGCCAAUCAGAUGCCAGGUUUUUGGCGGGCUUUUUCCCGCGCGUCGCGUUCAAAAGUGAUGUCCCGCUCGCCACAACUUCAAAAGGAGUCCAAACCAUUGUUGUGAGAGGGGUUUCGCCGAGGAUUUCACGCCAAAUACACCCAGUUUUCAUCUUAUUUUAGCACUUCUGCUGAUUAAACAACUAUCUGCAGCGGUGCAGCAAGUAGGAGACUUGGAUGCUUCUUACCAGGUGGUUGAGGAAUGCCGUUGCCACAGUAGCGAAGCCAGCACACUGGUGUCUUGGGAAGCUGGUAGACGUAGAAUGCACCGCAGUUCCUGACUUUGAUGUAGUUGCUCCAUCUGCAGCAGUUUUUAGUCCAGUGGUAGCACACCUUGCGAGUCACCAUACCUUGGGCUACAGUGGGAUGAGCUCCCACCAUCCACCCAGGCGCGUGGGUUCCACAGCGUUUUUCAAGUACACAACUUGUUGGCAUAGCAUUGCCUGCUUGUCCAGUGAAACGGUACCACAGGUUACCUGGAAACUCAUUCUUGUCACAGCGGAGGGCAUUUUGUGCGGUAUUGGCCAUUGCACGAUCGGCUCCGUGUAACAUUGUGUACGAUCUGCAUUCUAAAGAAAAACACAGCUUUUGAUUUAUCGGAUAUCAUCUUUUUUUUUUGUAAAUUGUCUUAGUAAGUAUUUUUAUCAACAUGUCGAUCACAUACUAUUGUUUAGGAAUACUAGUUCAUUUUAUUGUAUUGUUUUUAGACAGUCAUGAAAAUUAAUAGCAUCCAAAAGUAUAGCCUGCGUAGCAAGCGUUUCUUUAGAGUUUCAGCAGGAAUAGUAUAGAGAGCGAUACGCAGGCUACCAAAAGUAUUAUUAGCCAGCUAGCAAGGUUAAUACAUCAUUUAUUAUAUGGCUAUUUAAAUUUAUUUGAGAAGACAUUUCAAUGGGAGAAGGGAAACCACGCAAGUCAAGUUUCGUUGAUUUGUUGUGCUAGGUAAGGAAAAAGUCAAAUUUCGUUCUAAAGAUGCAAAAUUCUGUUAGCGCAUCGGACCCCUGAGAUGGGAAUAUCUCGGCUACUAAUCACAUCGUGCGGUACGAUUAUAAUAUGUCUUCUUACAAUAUUUACCUGAUGGGGGGUAAUAUGCGCGCGGCUUGAUGUCGAGCUUCUCAUCUGUCAGAAAAAAACAUUACAUCAAAUUAAAAUCCUUUAAAAAUCGAA